CCAGACUCCUACGGGAGGCAGCAGUCGAGACUCCUUCACAAUGGGGGCCCCCCUGAUGGUGCGCCGCCGCGUGGGGGCCUGAAGGUCUUCGGAUUGUAAACCCCUGUCAUGUGGGAGCAACUUAAAAAGCUAGUACCACAAGAGGAAGAGACGGCUAACUCUGUGCCAGCAGCCGCGGUAAUACAGAGGUCUCAAGCGUUGUUCGGAAUCACUGGGCGUAAAGCGUGCGUAGGCUGUUUCGUAAGUCGUGUGUGAAAGGCGCGGGCUCAACCCGCGGACGGCACAUGAUACUGCGAGACUAGAGUAAUGGAGGGGGAACCGGAAUUCUCGGUGUAGCAGUGAAAUGCGGAGAGAUCGAGAGGAACACUCGUGGCGAAGGCGGGUUCCUGGACAGUAACUGACGCUGAGGCACGAAGGCCAGGGGAGCGAAAGGGAUUAGAUACCCGUGUACA
Molecule: ribosomal RNA, 452 nt
Filed under: uncultured bacterium
Lineage: Bacteria
Description: bacterial SSU rRNA
Rfam family: Bacterial small subunit ribosomal RNA
Source: RNAcentral